GAUGACUCCAUAACGGAUGGUUCCGGACCGGUUGAAUCGGUGCGGAUGAAAAGGGAAUGUGAAGCGGUGGACCCAAUCCGGGCGCCGUCAUCAUAGCCGACCCCGCGACUGUAGAGCGGUCAGGGUUUUCUGUCCGGCGUUGGUUCCUCGUGGUUGACAGUCUGCAAUAGUGCAGGCGGGCGGCGCGGAAGCGGCGACGGAAAAGUCACUGGCAGUGCGUCAUGAUCAACCGGGGCUGGACGCCUCUCAAGUCUACGAAUCGUCCGCCUUUUCAUGAAAUGCAGCCGGGAAGACGAGGAAAAUCCGCUGGCACGAUCAGGGCGACCGAUUUCCAGUCUGCCCGAUCGCGCCCAAAACCCGCGAGCCAGGAGACCUGCCAAUCGUGCCGGGCAAAA
RNAcentral lists this non-coding RNA (395 nucleotides) under Rhizobium tibeticum. Lineage: Bacteria; Pseudomonadati; Pseudomonadota; Alphaproteobacteria; Hyphomicrobiales; Rhizobiaceae. The record is from RNAcentral.